UGGACAGAUUAUUGUAUUCGACUGUAUUCACGACGUGAAACAGGGGAUUACACUGUUUUUAAAUGAAAAGUGAAUCAAUUAACAUAAUCGACUCCU
Nicotiana attenuata is the source of this 96-nucleotide microRNA precursor. It matches the Rfam family "MIR6152 microRNA precursor family". The record is from Rfam. NCBI's taxonomy places the organism in Eukaryota, Viridiplantae, Streptophyta, Magnoliopsida, Solanales, Solanaceae.